GAUGAAGAACGUAGCGAAAUGCGAUAAGUAAUGUGAAUUGCAGAAUUCAGUGAAUCAUCGAAUCUUUGAACGCACAUUGCGCCCAUUAGUAUUCUAGUGGGCAUGCCUGUUCGAGCGUCAUUAAUUCCACUUAAGCCCUGCUUAGUGUUGGGAAUCUACUCUAGUGGUGCUGCCCUGGAGCUACCCCUGAAAGGGGGCUGGCCCGGUAGCUACCCUGUAGUUCCUCAAAGAUAGUGCGCGGAGUUGCGUGGUCCUCUGAGCUUAGUAACUAUACACCUAGCUUUUGAGUGUCCCGCGGCGCCUGCCGUUUAAACCCCAUCUUUUAAUGGUUGACCUCGGAUCAGGUAGGAAUACCCGCUGAACUUAAGCAUAUCAAUAAGCGGAGGA
RNAcentral lists this unclassified non-coding RNA (387 nucleotides) under soil metagenome. Its description in RNAcentral is "partial contains 5.8S ribosomal RNA, internal transcribed spacer 2, and large subunit ribosomal RNA". The stretch from base 1 to 120 matches the Rfam family "5.8S ribosomal RNA", at positions 35 to 154 of the family's 154-position model. The record is from RNAcentral.